Molecule: regulatory RNA element, 131 nt
Organism: Bacillus sp. FJAT-27916
Lineage: Bacteria; Bacillati; Bacillota; Bacilli; Caryophanales; Bacillaceae
Rfam family: c-di-AMP riboswitch aptamer (ydaO/yuaA leader)
About the family: This family represents a conserved RNA structure found upstream of the ydaO and yuaA genes in Bacillus subtilis and related genes in other bacteria.
Source: Rfam
UUUUCUAAAUCGCUGAGACCGUAUGGUGCGGGGGACCCAAAUGUUUCUUGGGGUGAAUCCUUAUUAAAAGGUAGGGCUACUCAUGGCCCGAAUCCGUCAGCUAACCUCGUAAGCGUUAUUUGAGAAGGAAG